GACGCUUUGGCGCAAUGGUAGCGUGUGGUCCUCCUAUGUAAUAUGGGAGAGCAGACUGAGGUUGUGGGUUCGAGUCCCAUGAGCGUCG
Molecule: non-coding RNA, 88 nt
Organism: Parathielavia appendiculata
Lineage: Eukaryota; Fungi; Ascomycota; Sordariomycetes; Sordariales; Chaetomiaceae
Source: the annotation of a RefSeq genome assembly